GGACCUAAACUCAGGUCUCCCACAUCCCAGGCCAAUACCCUAACCACUAGACCAUGCUUCCUCUUCUUCAGGACAGGGGUCCAGGAAACAGUCCCUGAAGUUAAAAAAAUGUUACAGGUCUUGUUGACCAGAGGAAAAGGAGAAGAUUGUGCUAGACAAUGGUGGGAGAGAAAGGAAAGUGUUCGUGAUCGAGGUGCUCCACCCAGGAUAAAUAAGGAAUCGGACAAGGGUCAGCUGACACAUCCUCUCCCUGGCAAACACCAUCGGCUGCAGCAAAAUUGCCGACCUCCCUUCAGCACCUUGCACAAUGGGGUCCUGGACCAUGCCUGUGGCUCCUAGGGAUCAAUAUAAUAAUGAGAGAAGAAAGCUAGUGAGUUGAACACAGAUCCAAUCCUGCAACCCCGUCUCUCCCAAGCAGUCCUGACACGUUGGCAGCCACACUGAAGACAAUGAGACUGGUUGUGUGCAUAAGAGUUUCAGGAUCAAGUCCCAAGAUUGCAAGAUCAACCUAUUGUCCGAAGGGAUGAGAAUGACAAUAUUUCAAAUAGGCUUUAAAAUCUCAGCUGAAUAGGCUU
Non-coding RNA from Caretta caretta (loggerhead turtle), 575 nucleotides. NCBI's taxonomy places the organism in Eukaryota, Metazoa, Chordata, Testudines, Cheloniidae. The record is from RefSeq and is a predicted model, not a curated record.